UACACUCCUACGGGAGGCAGCAGUGGGGAAUUUUGGACAAUGGGGGCAACCCUGAUCCAGCAAUGCCGCGUGAGUGAAGAAGGCCUUCGGGUUGUAAAGCUCUUUUGUCAGGGAAGAAACGGUGGUGGCGAAUAACUACUACUAAUGACGGUACCUGAAGAAUAAGCACCGGCUAACUACGUGCCAGCAGCCGCGGUAAUACGUAGGGUGCAAGCGUUAAUCGGAAUUACUGGGCGUAAAGCGUGCGCAGGCGGUUGUGUAAGUCAGAUGUGAAAUCCCCGGGCUCAACCUGGGAAUUGCAUUUGAGACUGCACGGCUAGAGUGUGUCAGAGGGGGGUAGAAUUCCACGUGUAGCAGUGAAAUGCGUAGAUAUGUGGAGGAAUACCGAUGGCGAAGGCAGCCCCCUGGGAUAACACUGACGCUCAUGCACGAAAGCGUGGGGAGCAAACAGGAUUAGAAACCCUUGUAGUCCC
This 473-nucleotide ribosomal RNA is filed under the name uncultured organism. RNAcentral describes it as "partial 16S ribosomal RNA". It matches the Rfam family "Bacterial small subunit ribosomal RNA", at positions 332 to 797 of the family's 1533-position model. The record is from RNAcentral.